GAUGAACGCUGGCGGCGUGCCUAAUACAUGCAAGUCGAGCGAACAGACGAGGAGCUUUCUCCUCUGACGUUAGCGGCGGACGGGUGAGUAACACAUGGAUAACCUACCUAUAAGACUGGGAUAACUUCGGGAAACCGGAGCUAAUACCGGAUAAUAUAUUGAACCGCAUGGUUCAAUAGUGAAAGACGGUUUUGCUGUCACUUAUAGAUGGAUCCGCGCCGCAUUAGCUAGUUGGUAAGGUAACGGCUUACCAAGGCGACGAUGCGUAGCCGACCUGAGAGGGUGAUCGGCCACACUGGAACUGAGACACGGUCCAGACUCCUACGGGAGGCAGCAGUAGGGAAUCUUCCGCAAUGGGCGAAAGCCUGACGGAGCAACGCCGCGUGAGUGAUGAAGGUCUUCGGAUCGUAAAACUCUGUUAUUAGGGAAGAACAAAUGUGUAAGUAACUAUGCACGUCUUGACGGUACCUAAUCGGAAAGCCACGGCUAACUACGUG
RNAcentral lists this ribosomal RNA (497 nucleotides) under uncultured bacterium. Its description in RNAcentral is "partial 16S ribosomal RNA". It matches the Rfam family "Bacterial small subunit ribosomal RNA", at positions 28 to 507 of the family's 1533-position model. The record is from RNAcentral.